Non-coding RNA from Bemisia tabaci, 2133 nucleotides. Lineage: Eukaryota; Metazoa; Arthropoda; Insecta; Hemiptera; Aleyrodidae. The record is from RefSeq and is a predicted model, not a curated record.
UGUCUCUCAUCUUCCAAGUUCAAACGAGCCUUAGCACAGUCGUGUCCAGUUCGCUGGAGAAAUGGCACUCAAGGAUUUGAUUUAUUGUGGAAUUAAUGUAUUUCAAGUUAUUUGUCGCGUGGUAUUUGUAUUAAGUGAUAUUUUUGAAAAGUGCUUGCUCUCUUCACUUGUAAGUAACAGGAGGAAUGAAUAGUUUGAUUUGUUUUUCAAGGCUUUCUCAGGCUCACCCAAAGGCUUUCACCGCCCCAAAUGGCUUCAUUACCCCAUCAAAGAACUGAGGGUUGAACUUUUCAUAAAGAGCAGUGCCUAUACAUCUUUCACAAAAGAAAAUAAUCAUGUGUAGUAGCCGAAACUUCUAGAGUUCUAAAUCAAUGAUAAAAGAAAGACAAGUUGUGGGAGAAUGCAAAACAAUUCCCUAGUCAUGUGUAUACAUAUGGGGAAAAACUAUACAACAAAAAACCCUGGUGCGAAGUAAUGAUGCGAACUAUAUCCGAAUUAAAUCGGUUAAUUGUUACUCAGUUGUUGAGGGUAACAGAGGAGUGUAGUGAAGGAGAGUAGGUUCUUCAAAUUAAUAUGAAGGAAAAAUCCAAAGAAUAAAGUACAAUAAAGUUUGACCCGUACCAAAAGGCUCCGUUUUUAUCCAUACCAGAGAGGGUUGGCACUUUUAUAAGGAGCAUUAAGUAUAAACUUUUAAAAUUAAAGGCAUCGUGGACAACUGUGGACAUUUUUUAAAUAAAUUGAAGUGUGUAAAGACAAAAUACAAAUUACGGAAAGCAGUUCAAUUGGAUUUGUGAAACUUUUGGAUCCAUAUGACCAGUCCUGCUUCACAUUCACUUUCACCAGGGUCUCUUUCAUGGAUAGCUUCAUUUGGUCUCUUAUCCAGUGGACGCAAUGGCUGGGUGGUGGCAGGCGAGAUGCGAACGCGAAUGGACCCGGGGCCAGCCUCUUCACAGUCUCCACUUCUCUUUCAUGAACAGCUUCAUUUUGUCCCAUAUCCAAAAGACCCAACGGCUGGUUUGGUAGCUGGCCUGAUGCGUACUUGAAUGGACCCGGGGCCAGCCUCUUCACAGUCUCCACAUCUCUUUCAUGAACAGCUUCAUUUGGUCCCAUAUCCAAAAGACCCAACAGCUGGUUGGUAGCUGGCCUGAUGCGUACUUGAAUGGAUUCGGGGCCAGAAUAGACGCAGUGUUCGUAAGCGAGCUAUCAAGGCGAGCAGAGAUAAUACAUCGGAUCCCGGUGGCUCAAACGUUGAUGAAAAAUUCCAGGAGGAGAUAGUAGGAGAGGCCUCGUAGGAAUAGUGGCCCCUUGUUGCUCACUCGUGAGAUCAUGCGCGGCCGCGAUAUCCGUCAUUUGAGCGAUGCCGCACACUUUCGUCGGUAGCUUAUCCAGAAUGAGUCCAUACGAGAAUUCAGAAUGGAUUAUUAUGAUAACGUGUUUCAAAAAUCGAGAUGUUUUCAUGAUGCCUUUGUUGCUUCAUUCGUCUUGGUAUGACUUGGUGUGGCUCAGAUAAUGCAACGUGAAAAAAGAAGACGUGGAAAUUAGUGGAGUAGGGCAAACAGAAGAAGAAGAAGAAGAAAAAUAAAAAUAAAGAGAAGGAGGAGAAGAAGAAAAUACAAAUAAAGGGAAGGAGGAGAAGAAGAAAAAUGUAAAUAAAGAGAAAGAGGAGAAGAAGAAAAAUACAAAUGAAGAGAAGGUGGAGAAGAAGAAAAAUAAAAAUAAAGAGAAGGAGGAGAAGAAGAAGAAGAAGAAGAAGAAGAAGAAGAAGGAGAAGAAGGAGAAGGAGAAGGAUGAUAAAGUAUGAUUCCAAAUAAGUAAUUUAAAAAAAAAUAAAAGUUGAUAGGUAGGUAGAUUAAUACAAAUAAUUGAUUGGUGGAGAAAUAGCGGAGUGCAUGUGUAGUUAGUCCGUCGAGUGAAAGGUCCUGAGCAGUGAUUUUCUGCUUAGAUGUUUAUUUCUUUGUUUCUAUGUUUAGGACAGCAUCUUUAAUUCCAGUUCUUUCUGUUAUUUAUAGCUCUUCUUUUUGUUCUUUUUAUUCAAGUCUUAAUUUUUGCAGUUUUUGUCUAAUUUCUGUCCUUUCUCUCUCUUUCUGCUUUUUUUUUCAUUCUACCAGUAUAGGAGCUUGAAUUCUUUUGAGU